GGUCCCCAAGCCCCCCGCAAAGGACGUGUUGAUCUUGGAGCAAGAGAGCGAAGUCCUCGAGCCAUCAGUUGAGCAGGACGCAGAGAGCCCCGGGCUGUCCACAGCUGCGGGCUUUGAGAGUCCUGAGCCAGGCAGAGACGACCCUGGGCCGUCCGAAGCGCAAAGGGCGGAGGUCCAGGGGCAGCGUCCCUCUCCAGGCCCUAAGACCUCCUCCUCCAGGUCAGACUCGGAAGCCCCCCACCCGCGUUUUCCGCCGUGCCCCGAGGCUCCCCAGCGUCCCCCGGAGGAGCGGUUCAUGGAGACGCCCAUCGAGCGCGAAAUCCGCCGCAGCUGCGAACGCGAGGAGAGCCUGCGCCGGAGCCGGGGCCUGAGCCCGGGCCGCGCAGGCCGUGAACUCGUCGAGCUGCGCGUGCGGCCGGUGCUCAACCUGCCAGGUCCUGGCCCCGCGCUCCCGCGCGCCCUGGAGCGGGCGCGGGCGGGCGCGCAGAUGCAGCGGGACAUCGAGCGAGAGGCCCACCGGCAGGCGGCGCUGGCGCGCCCCGCGGCCCCCGAGCCGCGCGCCCGGUCGCCGCCGCAGCCGCUGGGCGAACUCAAGCGCUUCUUCGAGGCCGCGGCGGGGAGCGGCUCCUCGUUGGGGGCGGGGGACGGCGCGGGCCCGCAGAGGCUGCCAGAGCCUGGGGGACGGCCGCGCUCGGCCGUGCAAGGCGGGUGCCCGGUGCUGGGCAGCGCCCCGCCGCCUUUCACUCCGUCACUGCUGGAGCAGGAGGUGCGCGCGGUGCGCGAGCGCGAGCAGGAGCUGCAGCGCCAGCGGCGCAGCGUCUAUGGCACCGCGGAGUUCAAGGAGCCUACGCCGAGCCUCACCGGGGUGCGGCUGGCCUCUUUUAUCCUGGCUGCCGCCAGCUGGUGAGCUGAGCGCCCCUUCCCCCGCAGCGAGCAGGGGCGACGGAAAGUUGGCGGUGAUCUGGCCCCCCCGCAGAAAGGUCUCAGAGAACGGCCUGGAGCAGGAGGAGCGCAAACCUUGAGGUUUGAAAAGGCUGGGACCCCCGGCCGGAAGUAACAUACGCGUCAGAGGAACAGGGCGGGGGGCGUCUAGCAGAAGGCCUGGAGAAGGGUCGGCUCUCUGCAUUGGGGAAGAUGAAAUCGACUUCCCUUUGUGAAAUUAACCAGUCCCCUCUAUAAAACUUACAGUCCCCCAUUGGGAAACUGACCACCACCCACAGCUCCGCCAGUGAAACUGCCCAGCCCUUCUCUGCCUAAUUGCAAACUGAACUACCCUCUCCCUUGACUGUUAAGAGGGCCGGAGUUACCGCCUCGAUUGCCCCACUCCCCCCACCCCCAAUAAAGCCUCUUCUUUCAGGGCA
RNA transcript from Nomascus leucogenys (northern white-cheeked gibbon), 1361 nucleotides. It is a transcript of the gene named MISP family member 3, with no coding region annotated. The record is from RefSeq and is a predicted model, not a curated record. The transcript is spliced from 3 exons. NCBI's taxonomy places the organism in Eukaryota, Metazoa, Chordata, Mammalia, Primates, Hylobatidae.